This 806-nucleotide ribosomal RNA is filed under the name uncultured bacterium. RNAcentral describes it as "bacterial SSU rRNA". It matches the Rfam family "Bacterial small subunit ribosomal RNA", at positions 589 to 1401 of the family's 1533-position model. The record is from RNAcentral.
CAGCGGUGAAAUGCCCCCGCUCAACGGGGUGAAGUGCCAUUGAUACUGCCUUGCUGGAAUGCGGAUGCCGUGGGAGGAAUGUGUGGUGUAGCGGUGAAAUGCAUAGAUAUCACACAGAACACCGAUUGCGAAGGCAUCUCACGAAUCCGCGAUUGACGCUGAUGCACGAAAGCGUGGGUAUCAAAUAGGAUUAGAUACCCUAGUAGUCCACGCCGUAAACGAUGAGGACCAAGUGUUGGGGGUGAAACCUCAGUGCUGAAGUUAACGCAGUGAGUCCUCCGCCUGGGGAGUAUGCACGCAAGUGUGAAACUCAAAGGAAUUGACGGGGGCCCGCACAAGCGGUGGAGUAUGUGGUUUAAUUCGAAGCAACGCGAAGAACCUUACCAGGCCUUGACAUGGGAUGCGAAGACGCAGAGAUGCGUUGGAGGUCAACAUCCACACAGGUGGUGCAUGGUUGUCGUCAGCUCGUGUCGUGAGAUGUUGGGUCAAGUCCCGCAACGAGCGCAACCCUUGUGGCAUGUUGCUAACAGGAAAGCUGAGGACUCAUGCCAGACUGCCGGUGACAAACCGGAGGAAGGCGGGGAUGACGUCAAAUCAUCAUGCCCCUUAUGGCCUGGGCUACACACGUACUACAAUGGCGGCUACAAAGAGCGGCGAGACAGUAAUGUCGAGCGAAUCUCAUAAAAGCCGUCCCAGUUCGGAUUGGAGCCUGCAACCCGGCUCCAUGAAGUUGGAAUCGCUAGUAAUCGCGGAUCAGCAUGCCGCGGUGAAUACGCUCCCGGGCCUUGCACUCACCGCCCGUCAAG